UACGUAGGGUGCGAGCGUUAAUCGGAAUUAUUGGGCGUAAAGCGUGCGCAGGCGGUGAGCUGUGUCCGAUGUGAAAGCCCCGGGCUUAACCUGGGAAUGGCAUUGGAAACUGGCUUGCUGGAGUGCGGCAGAGGGGGGUGGAAUUCCGCGUGUAGCAGUGAAAUGCGUAGAGAUGCGGAGGAACACCGAUGGCGAAGGCAGCCCCCUGGGUCGACACUGACGCUCAGGCACGAAAGCGUGGGGAGCAAACAGG
Molecule: ribosomal RNA, 253 nt
Filed under: uncultured bacterium
Lineage: Bacteria
Description: partial 16S ribosomal RNA
Rfam family: Bacterial small subunit ribosomal RNA
Source: RNAcentral